RNAcentral lists this ribosomal RNA (457 nucleotides) under uncultured Streptococcus sp. RNAcentral describes it as "bacterial SSU rRNA". It matches the Rfam family "Bacterial small subunit ribosomal RNA", at positions 924 to 1382 of the family's 1533-position model. Lineage: Bacteria; Bacillati; Bacillota; Bacilli; Lactobacillales; Streptococcaceae. The record is from RNAcentral.
CACAAGCGGUGGAGCAUGUUGGUUAAUUCGAAGCAACGCGAAGAACCUUACCAGGUCUUGACAUCCCGAUGCUAUUUCUAGAGAUAGAAAGUUACUUCGGUACAUCGGUGACAGGUGGUGCAUGGUUGUCGUCAGCUCGUGUCGUGAGAUGUUGGGUUAAGUCCCGCAACGAGCGCAACCCCUAUUGUUAGUUGCCAUCAUUCAGUUGGGCACUCUAGCGAGACUGCCGGUAAUAAACCGGAGGAAGGUGGGGAUGACGUCAAAUCAUCAUGCCCCUUAUGACCUGGGCUACACACGUGCUACAAUGGUUGGUACAACGAGUUGCGAGUCGGUGACGGCGAGCUAAUCUCUUAAAGCCAAUCUCAGUUCGGAUUGUAGGCUGCAACUCGCCUACAUGAAGGCGGAAUCGCUAGUAACCGCGAAUCAGCAGGUCGCGGUGAAUACGUUCCCGGGCCUU